GACGAACGCUGGCGGCGUGCCUAACACAUGCAAGUCGAACGCGAAAGCCCUUUCGGGGGUAAGUAGAGUGGCGUCCGGGUGAGUAACACGUGGGUAAUCUGCCUUCGGGUGGGGAAUAACCCAGGGAAACUUGGGCUAAUACCGCAUAAUGCAGCGGCACCUAAUGGUGAUUAGUUGUUAAAGCGGGGGAUCGCAAGACCUCGCGCCUGAAGAGGAGCCUGCGGCAGAUUAGCUAGUUGGGAGGUAAUGGCUCACCAGGGCUUCGAUCUGUAGCUGGUCUGAGAGGACGGCCAGCCACACUGGCACUGACACACGGGCCAGACUCCUACGGGAGGCAGCAGUGGGGAAUUUUGGGCAAUGGGCGAAAGCCUGACCCAGCAACGCCGCGUGAGGGAGGAAAUCCUUCGGGAUGUAAACCUCACAAGCAAGGGAAGAGAGCUGCGGGCUGAAUAAUCCUGCAGUGCGACGUA
RNAcentral lists this ribosomal RNA (470 nucleotides) under uncultured bacterium. RNAcentral's name for it is "bacterial SSU rRNA". It matches the Rfam family "Bacterial small subunit ribosomal RNA", at positions 28 to 476 of the family's 1533-position model. The record is from RNAcentral.